GACGAACGCUGGCGGCGUGCUUAACACAUGCAAGUCGAACGAUGAAGCCGGAGCUUGCUCCGGUGGAUUAGUGGCGAACGGGUGAGUAACACGUGAGCAAUCUGCCCUUGACUCUGGGAUAACUGCGGGAAACUGUAGCUAAUACCGGAUACGACACCUUGGGGCAUCCCAGGGUGUGGAAAGAAUUUCGGUCAAGGAUGAGCUCGCGGCCUAUCAGCUAGUUGGUGAGGUAAUGGCUCACCAAGGCGACGACGGGUAGCCGGCCUGAGAGGGUGACCGGCCACACUGGAACUGAGACACGGUCCAGACUCCUACGGGAGGCAGCAGUGGGGAAUAUUGCACAAUGGGCGAAAGCCUGAUGCAGCAACGCCGCGUGAGGGAUGAAGGCCUUCGGGUUGUAAACCUCUUUUAGCAGGGAAGAAGCGAAAGUGACGGUACCUGCAGAAAAAGCAC
RNAcentral lists this ribosomal RNA (453 nucleotides) under bacterium Fw70s-2. RNAcentral describes it as "bacterial SSU rRNA". It matches the Rfam family "Bacterial small subunit ribosomal RNA", at positions 28 to 493 of the family's 1533-position model. The record is from RNAcentral.